RNAcentral lists this ribosomal RNA (483 nucleotides) under Triticum aestivum (bread wheat). RNAcentral describes it as "partial small subunit ribosomal RNA". The record is from RNAcentral. Lineage: Eukaryota; Viridiplantae; Streptophyta; Magnoliopsida; Poales; Poaceae.
AUGGCGUCGGCGUCGGCGUCGGCGGCUUUGGAGAAGGCUCGGCAGCUGCUGGAGGAGGCGGCGGCCGAGUCGCUGCCGACGGAGCAGGUGGACGCGCUGCCCUCCGGGUUCUACGACGCCUUCCUGCUCUGCGGCAUCCGCGUCCACGCCGUCGAGCCCGGCCGUCUCCUCUGCCACUUCACCGUCCCCGCCCGCCUCCUCAACUCGGGCAACUUCCUGCACGGCGGCGCGACCGCGUCGCUGGUUGACUUGGUGGGUACUGCUGUCUUCUACACGGCCGGGGCACAAACCGGCUCACCACUAGAGAUGAACAUCUCAUACUUGGAUGCUGCAUUUUCGGAUGAAGAGAUUGAUAUCGAGGCCAAGGUUCUGCGUGCUGGAAAAGCAGUAGGAGUGGCCACUGUGGAACUGAAGAAGAAAUCUGGCAAAAUCAUCGCUCAAGCCCGCUAUUCCAAGUAUCUUGGCGCAUCUAGUAAACUGUGA